UGAGGAAUAUUGGUCAAUGGGCGAGAGCCUGAACCAGCCAAGUAGCGUGCAGGACGACGGCCCUAUGGGUUGUAAACUGCUUUUAUAAGGGAAUAAAGUGAGUCUCGUGAGACUUUUUGCAUGUACCUUAUGAAUAAGGACCGGCUAAUUCCGUGCCAGCAGCCGCGGUAAUACGGAAGGUCCGGGCGUUAUCCGGAUUUAUUGGGUUUAAAGGGAGCGUAGGCCGGAGAUUAAGCGUGUUGUGAAAUGUAGACGCUCAACGUCUGCACUGCAGCGCGAACUGGUUUCCUUGAGUACGCACAAAGUGGGCGGAAUUCGUGGUGUAGCGGUGAAAUGCUUAGAUAUCACGAGAACUCCGAUUGCGAAGG
This 368-nucleotide ribosomal RNA is filed under the name uncultured Prevotella sp. RNAcentral's name for it is "bacterial SSU rRNA". It matches the Rfam family "Bacterial small subunit ribosomal RNA", at positions 355 to 721 of the family's 1533-position model. Lineage: Bacteria; Pseudomonadati; Bacteroidota; Bacteroidia; Bacteroidales; Prevotellaceae. The record is from RNAcentral.